AGCUCCAAUAGCGUAUAUUAAAGUUGCUGCAGUUAAAAAGCUCGUAGUUGGAUCUCGGGUGCAGGCUUGCGGUCCGUCUCGCGGCGGUCACUGCUCGUCCUGGCCUCCACGCCGGCGUACCGUCCCUUGGUGCUCUUGACUGAGUGUCUCGGGCGGCCGGAACGUUUACUUUGAAGAAAUUAGAGUGCUCAAAGCAGGCCUUGGCCGCCUGCAUAAUGGUGCAUGGAAUAAUGGAAUAGGACCUCGGUUCUAUUUUGUUGGUUUUCGGAGCUCGAGGUAAUGAUUAACAGGGACUGACGGGGGCAUUCGUAUUGCGGCGCUAGAGGUGAAAUUCUUAGACCGUCGCAAGACGAACUACAGCGAAAGCAUUUGCCAAGCAUGUUUUCA
Molecule: ribosomal RNA, 387 nt
Filed under: marine Metazoa environmental sample
Lineage: Eukaryota; Metazoa
Description: SSU rRNA
Rfam family: Eukaryotic small subunit ribosomal RNA
Source: RNAcentral